GAGAAAGUAAAGUCCGCUCUCUUUGGCUCCCUUAUUGGCAAUGUCUUGACAAUCUGAAGGAGAAGAAGAAACUUUUUAUUAAAUCCAGGAAACAAAAAAGGAAGGAAGGAAGAAACCACAAGGCAAUUUGUCUCUCUUAGCCUGGCAUUCAUUGUGGGGAAACAAUGUUUCCUGUGAGGACCUGUGAUUACAAACCUGUCUUCCCACAGGUGUAGUAUUCAAAUGUAUGCUAAUUUUUUUUUUUUCUGACAGGCAGAGUUGACAGUGAGAGAGAGAGACAGAGAGAAAGGUCUUCCUUUACUGUUGAUUCACCCUCCAGUGGCUGCUGCGUUGAUCCGAAGCCAGGAGCCAGGUGCAUCCUCCUGGUCUCCCAUGGGGUGCAGGGCCCAAGCACUUGGGCCAUCCUCCACUGCACUCCCUGGCCACAGCAGAGAGCUGGCCUGGAAGAAGGGCAACCGGGACAGAAUGCUGCACCCCGACUGGGACUAGAACCUUGUGUGCCGGCACUGCUAGGCGGAGGAUUAGCCUAGUGAGCCAUGGCAUCGGCCAAUGUAUGCUACUUUCUUUUUUAUUUAUUUAUUUAUUUUUUUUUUUUCUGACAGGCAGAGUGGACAGUGAGAGAGAGAGACAGAGAGAAAGGUCUUCCUUUGCCGUUGGUUCACCCUCCAAUGGCCGCCGCGGCUGGCGUGCUGCGGCCGGCGCUGAUCCGAUGGCAGGAGCCAGGAGCCAGGUGCUUUUCCUGGUCUCCCAUGGGGUUCAGGGCCCAAGCACUUGGGCCAUCCUCCACUGCACUCCUUGGCCACAGCAGAGGGCUGGCCUGGAAGAGGGGCAACCGGGACAGAAUCCGGCGCCCCAACCGACUAGAACCCGGUGUGCCGGCGCCGCUAGGCGGAGGAUUAGCCUAGUGAGCCGCGGCGCCGGCCAAUGUAUGCUACUUUCAUGACUGAGAAAAACCACAGUCCAAGCCAUUUACUUGGGAAUUUAUGUGGCAGGUUCAUGGCUGCUGGCUCCUUUAGGCGUCUGGCAGAGGCAGCUUCAAAUCCAGGGGUGGCAGAGGAGGCUGCUGCACAGAGAGAGACUCCCCAGGACUCAUAAUUCAGAAUCAAAAAUGUAGAAACACACAGAAGCAUGUGUGGGAUUCAGACAUCAGAAUGCUUUGAUGCAGAAUGAAGCAGAAUGUUAAAAAUAUAAUCAAAAAAAUGGAACAAAAACCUGAAUAAGAAGAAGGCCUAGACUUUAAUAGACAUCAGAUAAACCCUUAUUCAUUAAACAUAGAAUCAUUAAAAUGAUAACAUAAGGGAUGGAUGGAACAGCAGAGUCAGUAUAAUUAAUGGAAGAUUAACGUAUUAGAAAAUAGCUCUAAGAAAAUUUCCCGGAAGGCAGCCAUAGGCAGAGAUGGAAAAUGAAGGAGAAGUUAGAUAUCUGUGGAUAUAAUUAAGUGUUCAUCAGCUGUUCGUUACUACAACAAACACCUGAGAAGAGCUACCAGGAAGGAAGACGGUCGAUUCCAGCUCACAGUUUUGGAGGUUCCGUUCAAGACUGGGCAGCCUCAUUGGUCUGGCAUCUAAUGGGCAAGCCUGCUGACAGCUGCAAAGCAAAAGAGGAGGAAGGAGCACUUGGAGAGGCAGGGAAUGGAGAGAGGAGCCAGGCCCAACCCUCUUUGGGGCGCCAGCCUCCAAGAGCAAACCUCAGCGAUCCACUCUCAGACACCAUAGCCAGAUCACACCUACAUCCUUAGCCCAUCAGCCGUUAACAGAGGACACUGGGGCUUCAAUAUCUUCAUGUGAUUGGAAGCCAAGUCUUGUUCAAGCCACAACAAAUGAUGUCUAAGCCUCCAUCUAAUUAGAAUCCUCAAAGUAAAGAAUAAGAGAGGAACUAGGAUUUGAUAUAGCAGUUAAAACACCAGUUAGGAUGUCCAAUAUGAGAGUACCUGGGUUCAGUCCUGCUCUGACUCCUAACUCGAGCAUCUUGCUAAUGCAGUCCCUUGGAGAAAACAGUGAUGACUGAAGGGGUUGGGUUCCUGCCAACUACUUGAUUGAGACCUGGAUUGAGUUUCUGGCUCCUGGCUCCAGCCUCAGGCCAGUGCCAGCUGUUGCAGGUGUUUGGGGGAGUGAAGCAGUAGAUGUGAUGGGAGCGCUGUGUGCCUCUCAGAUACAUAAAUAAAUAAAUGACGUAAGAAUAAAAUAAAUAAAUAAAAUAAAGUAUAUUUAUAAAAGCAUUUUUGAAAAAUGUUUAAACAAAAGUGAAGGAAUACAGGAGAGGCAACACCCAAAAACAAUGGUAGAGAAAUAUUCAGGCUUCAUUAAUCAUAGGUAUCCUAAGAGUCAGGAAGGAAAAUCAAUCUUAUGCAGAUUAAACAAAAAGAAAUCCACACCAGAUAUAUCCCAGGGCAACUGUUUAAAAGAAAACGAAACAAAGCAAAAAUAAGAAGAAAGACAAAAAGAAACAAAAACCGAAAAAAAAAGAAAAAACAGGAAACAAGGUUAUAAGAACUUCCAAAGGGAAGGGAAAAGACCUGUAAUGUUUAAAGAUGGACUGUCAGACUCACAGCAUUCUCACUGGGAGAAGAGUUUCCAGGAAGCGAAACGGCUGUCAUUCUAGAAUUGUACGCCCAGAUACACUAGAAUUAUCAAGUGACGAUAGUGUGAAAGAACACUUCCCUUUCUGGGGGAAACGCUGAUCUAAAGCAUACAUGGAAUGUUUUCACCCGUAUCCUUUUAUGUCUGCAAGUACUGACAUGAACUUGAGACAUUGUACAGAGUGCUAUGUUGGCAAUUUUGUUUGUUUCAGUCUAAAGUUUUAAGGUUCCCUGGGUUAAAAACAAUGAAUGAUGACAUCCUGCUUCCCAGAGAGCGAGUCCAAUAAACAGGACCUUGGGACCCUGGUGCCCACAUUAUGCAGGUGGGACCUGCAUAGACGGUGCUACAGCGGUGGGAUCCUCAUUCUUGCUGAGGUCAUGGGAGGGACGCGUUUAUCACCUUGAGCUCAUCCUUUCUGUUUUACUUACUAAUGCACAGGGCUACUGCACAAUACAGUUUCAGAUGCCAAUUUACACAGUUUAGAACAUUAAAACAGAAUAAAUUGCUUUCCUGUUUGAGAUUUAAUAUGUCUAGGGUCCAGAAAGUCACUCAAGAAUUUCCAAUUGGGUCUUUAGAAGGGCGAUGCUCCAUGUGCAAAAUGAUAGAGCAUUUUUGGUUUUGGUGUUAAUCAAAUAAUUCAGCAAUGACAACGUAGAAUUGGCUUAUAAACUGAAACGUGAUGGCUGUUAACAGUUUCUGCACCUUUAUAUUCACUAUUUCCAGACUUUAUACUUAAUAAUGUGGAAGUUAUUAGAAUCAUAAGGUUUUUAGAAUUAUCCUUAUAGUUUGAGGAUCCAUCUGUAUGUUUGGGGACUGUUCUGCCUAUGUUGAAUCUUUAAAUAAAUACUAUUUUUUCCUAAAAUUAGGUGUAUUAACCCUUUCUGGGUGAAAUUCCCAACUCUUUGUGUGCCUCUGUUUAAUAUGUUAGUGGCUCGAGGUUCUCGCAGUAAAAUAUUCUCACACCAACCCAGGCACUGAAGGUGUUGGAGCCUCUUCCCUACGCAUGGAGAGAGAAUGAUGAGACUUGUGUUUCGCCAACAGAAGACCCAUCUUCCAAGCUUCUUGGAUCUCCCCGUGCACCCGUUUAGUCACCACCCCCGCACGAGGUUGCUCUUGGAAGCUGUGUUCUGUGAUUCAAGUCUGCGCUCGCCCCUGGGAGGCUGCCUCCACAGCCAGACUCAUCUAUAGGAGUCCCCAUCCCUCGGGGGCCAGCUGCUCCCACAGCAGACUCCGGCUUCCUUCUUUUCACAAUCGGUUUGUCUCCUUAGGGCCAAGCAUCUACUGGAACUGCUGCUGCUUCUCUUCUGCCUCACACGUUUGGUAAUCUUGGUUUUAGACGUAGUUAGCAAUAUUUUGAGCAAACUGCAUUGGAUGCAUAUUGAAUCGGCUCCCAGUAUUGAUCACCAUCUCCUCUUCACUGUGUGACCUUACGCUACAUAAUUUCUGGGGUUCUGCAUCCUCCUCUUUGCAUCCAUGUAGGUUAUUGUGAGGAUAAAGUGAAAGAAAGCCAACAAAACACUUAGCAUAGUGUCUACUUGGCAUUACAAAUAUGUUCAUUGUUAAAAGAAUUGAUGACUACCACGAAAAGGAAUAUUCAGGGAAUCUAAUAAGCUUAAAGCUGUGUCCCUAACUUGUUCUGAAGGCGAUGAGGAAGCUCCUUCUGCGAAAGCUACUUUUAAAUUGACAACUUCAUGCUGAGUAUAAUCUGUUUUAGGAAAAAAAAAAAGCAAAACAAAAGUUCUUUUUUUUUUUUUUUUAACAGGUAGAGUUAUAGACAGUGAGAGAGAGACAGAGAGAAAGGUCUUCCUUUACCGUUGGUUCACUCCCCAAAUGGCCGCCACGGCGCUGCGCCAGGCCACAGCAGAGAGCUGGACUGGAAGAGGAGCAACCGGGACUAGAACCUGGCACCUGUAUGGGAUGUCAGCGCCACAAGGUGGAGGAUUAACCAAGUGAGCCAUGGUGCCGGCCCCAUGUUCUUGUUUUCUUUGAUGCUCUAGGCCCAUGCUUGGAACCACUUCUCACUGGAUGCCGGGUCGCAGUGUCAGUUCACAGCAACAGGUGCAUGCAGACUGGGACUGUCCACCGCUGGGCCCUCAGGCCUAACACACAGCAGGCUUUGAAGAAACUCUUGAACAAGUAGAUGAGUUUGUUUUUCUGUAUAUAAAAUUAUUUUACUAGGUUAGCUUCUAGAAAUAAAGUAUGUCAAAGUUUAUGUACAUUUUACCUAAUUGCCUUGUAGAGGCUUGUGCCAAUUUAUACUUCCUGUAACCAGAAAUAUAAUUAUGUUUAUGCAAGCGUGCCUUACCAGUCCUGGGACUCUUCAUUUUCUUAAUAUGUUAAAUGUUUUUGGUAAGAAAUCAUUCUUGUUCUUUUGUUUCUGGGUUUUCAUCUAAUUUUCAUGAUUUGCUUAGUUUCGUUUGAUAAAUAAAACAUAAUUUUCAGUGUCUUUAUAAAAGUAAUGUAGGUUCAUUUUUAAAAGUAUUGUUAAUCAGCAAGAAGAAAAGAAACACAAUAAUUAUCCUACUCCACACUGCUAUAAUAAACAUUUUUUUUAAUUUAUUUUAUUUAUUUGAAAGACAGAAUUACAGAGGGAGAGAGAGCCAGAGAGAGAGAGAGAGAGAGAGAGGUCUUCCAUUAACUGGUUCAUUCCUCAAAUGGCCACAAUGGCCAGAGCUGAGCUGAUCUGAAGCCAGGAGCCAGGAGCCAGGAGCUUCUUCCAGGCCCCCGACAUGGGUGCAGGGGCCCAAGGACUUGGACCAUCUUCCACUGCUUUCCCAGGCCAUAGCAGAGAGCUGGAUCGGAAGUAGAACAGCCAGGACUUGAACCGGAUGCUGGCUGUGCAGGCCAAGGCUUUAACCUGCUGUGCCACAGCACUGGCUCCUCCAAUAAACAUUUUGAUAUAUAUCCUUUUAGCCAUCUUUAGUGGAUAUUUUAGAUUUUAAUCAUUAUUAUAUGAGUGUAAUGAAAAAUUGACUCCAUUUCUGAUGUUUGCUGACAGCUUCCGAGCCCCUCCCGUCAUCCUUUCCCUCUCUCUGCAUUUGGACAAGCUGCUAAGAAAGACAUACUCCUCCCUCCAAAACAGAGAAACCUUGGCCUACAUGUGGGAGUCCUCACCCCAGUGCCAUUUCUUAAUUGCAAUAAAUCCACGCUGGUCUCACUUCUCCACUCUCUCAGGCUGUGUUCUGACAUUCUUGGGGACCUUCCCUGUUCUCCCCAGCCAACGCCCUGUGUGUGUCAUACAGCUUUUCUGUCCAGUUGCUGGAUGUGUGGCGUCACCAUUAGUCUCCACAUAUGAAUCAAAUUCACAUGGUUGUGGGUGAGGAGGGACUUAGCACAUCUCCUCAUGGUAUCCACCCCAAUAAAGGUUAUGAACAUGAAUAGCUUAACAUACAAAAAAAACUCAAAGAAUGAGAAUAUACUGUGCAUACUGCCUAUUGAUAUGAUUUUCAUAUUUAAUAAUGUACUUUAACAACAACAUUAUUAAAUGUUUUUCACAAUACCAUAUUUACUGGCAGUAUAUUAUAGCAGUAUACAGUACACAUGAUCUAGCCAAAAUAUUAUUGCAUGUAGGACUGUAUGUUGGUUGCAUUUUCUUUUUUGCUACUUUACAUAAACUACUAUAGCUAGUGAAUAACCUUUUAGUCAAACCUUUGUGUCUAGUCUUGAACGAAUUCUUGGAGCCAAAUCCUUCUGAUUUUAAGUAGAAAUGUAUCAUGAGUGUAUUUCAGUACAGUAAACUUUUAUCUAGCUCUUGCCAUGCAUAGUUAUUGGGGAUACUGAAUACAAAAGACAUCAAACUUGCUUUUUAGAAGUCUUGAGCCAGCGCUGCGGCUCACUAGACUAAUCCUCCGCCUUGCAGCUUCAGCACACCGGGUUCUAGUCCCGGUCGGGGUGCCGGAUUCUGUCCCAGUUGCCCCUCUUCCAGGCCGGCUCUCUGCUGUGGCCAGGGAGUGCAGUGGAGGAUGGCCCAAGUGCUUGGACCCUGCACCCCAUGGGAGACCAGGAGAAGCACCUGGCUCCUGCCAUCGGAUCAGCGCGGUGCGCUGGCCGCAGCGCGCCAGCCGCGGCGGCCAUUGGAGGGUGAACCAAAGGCAAAGGAAGACCUUUCUCUCUGUCUCUCUCUCUCACUGUCCACUCUGCCUGUCAAAAAAUAAAAAUAAAAUAAAAUAAAAAGAAGUCUUGAUGUAUUAAGGGCU
Oryctolagus cuniculus (rabbit) is the source of this 6775-nucleotide non-coding RNA. NCBI's taxonomy places the organism in Eukaryota, Metazoa, Chordata, Mammalia, Lagomorpha, Leporidae. The record is from RefSeq and is a predicted model, not a curated record.